UUUAAUCUGGAAAUGAGAAACAGACCGUGGUUUAUCGGAAACAUUUGUUUGCUAGCAUAGAAAAAGAUGAGUUGUUUGUACAUUUUGUUUGCGGCGUUAGAGUUUUUACUUAUUCUACAUCCGACCUUAGGUGAUGUUCACUUUUCAACCCUUUUUCCUCCAAUACAUGAGUGCUGUGCAUCCGUACAACCUGAACACAAUGUAAAUGUUCAGCCUGUAGAAUGGAUAUUUAUGGGAUUUGCUGCAUUUAUAUUUGGAGUAAUUAUCUGUGUGCGCUGUGCGAAAUGUUGUUUUGAAGACGAAACAAAGUCUACUGUACAACUAGUGAGUCAGCAACACAUUCCUCAGAAUGAAUGUAACUCACGGCAGUCUGUAUCAUUACGGGCCUCAUCUCCAAUUCCUACCAAUACAACAAGGCUUACAUCACAUCCCUAUACAGCUACUGCACAACUAGUGAGUCAGCGACACAUUCAUCAGAAUGGACAUAACUUACAGCAGCCUGUAUCAUCACGAGCCACAUCUCCAAUUCCUACCAAUCCAGAAAGGCCUAGAGCACGUCCCUGUCCAGCUGAUAUGCAACUAAUGAGUCAGCAGCCCAUUCAACUGAAUGUUCAUGGUCUGUGGCAGUCUGAGUCCACACUAACGCCAGUUCCAGUUGUUAGCUGUCCAGAAAGACCUACAGCACCUCACUGUUCAGAUGCAGAUUCACCUCCUCCUUAUGAAGUAGUCGCACCACCGCCAUAUGAAGUGGCAGCUGCUAAUGGAAGUUACGUCUUGCAGGUUACAUAUAACUCUGAUUAAAAACAAUAAAUAAACAACUUCUUUUGAAUGUGUGCAGCACAGGAUUUGCUCUUUUGUAUGUCACACCUGCGAUCACUACUGCUCCGCCAUCAUCCUGACAGGUCUGCCUGCCAGUGUUCAGCUGCAGCACUGAUGGGCCAAGGGUCAAACUGAGGCCUUCCUACCCUCUGAGCUGUCGAGUCUCCACCAGUGCCAGCUGCCGCCAGUCACACACUAGACUGGAGUUCCUACCCCAAAUGUCUAUACCUCUGUCAUCUUCCAUAGUUGGGCUUGUCCUGGCAACCUUGCUGACAACCCAACAGUCCAAAUGCCAUUUCAGCAUGUCAUAGCACUAUUGGGAAUGUCUGGUAUUCAAGGUUGUUCCGAACUUGUGUCGUGCUGAGUGUGGCAGUUACUGACAAUUUUGUGACAUUACUUUGAUGCUGAGGUCCUUGAGAUUGAUACUUGACCAAGCCCAUGAACAUGGAUGCCAAAGAUCCACACCAUGCUAUGCCACAUGAAGAGGGAAUGCACUUUUAGCUGUUCUAAGAUUUUUGGAAUAAUAAAGAGUUUUCACGAAUAGUGUCUGCAGCCACCUUCACCUCUGACAGACUCCUGUAGCACUUGCCAAACCAUUGAUCCCACAACACUCAAGGGGGAGCAG
RNA transcript from Schistocerca gregaria, 1444 nucleotides. RefSeq lists it as uncharacterized. Lineage: Eukaryota; Metazoa; Arthropoda; Insecta; Orthoptera; Acrididae. The transcript has 8 exons. The record is from RefSeq and is a predicted model, not a curated record.